CCCACGCCGACACCCCUCUUUUCCUCUUCAUCCUUCCCGACACCGCUCUCCCCUCUCUCGAACCCAAUCACGUCGAUCGUCGCCGACCACAAAGGAACAGAUAUCUCUUCGCGUUGCCUCCGUUACUCGUGCUACCGUUGUCCCGCUGCCUCAUCGAGCAUUGGCGGCAGGACUCGUCACAGCCAUGGACGCCACUUCUUCCCUCUGCCCUAGCGUCGACCGCCCGAUCCACUGCCACCUCCGGCCAUGACAAGAGUUAGCCAGCAAGUGUCGAGCUUCCUCUCGCGUUUCGGCCAAGAUCCCUUCAGCGGAAUCCCUCUCCCUGUUCCACCGAUGUACAUUCCUCUUCGCCGAAUUUGGAAUCGCUGCUAUCAGACCCCCUUCUUGGUCCAUAGGAGGCAUGACUACUGUUGAUCCGCUCCGAUGCUGGCAUCUUUCAUGCACGAGCAGGGGGGAUCUAUGCCUUGUCCAAUUUUGGGUGAGGAUGAAACAGAGCAUUGUCAUCUCUGUGGAUUCAAUGAGAGCUCCAACUCCUUACGACUGCACUUGAGGUCUUUGAGAGCAACUAUGAAUCUGAGUGGGAAGCCCCAUUUCCUUCAUAAUGGCUUCGGAUCUCUUCAUCGAAGGUUGCAGAUCAGUUUUGGGGACUUGGGUUCGAGACGAGCGUCUCCACAUGAGGUCACUUGGCACGAUCUACGUAUAAAGGCGGGUACUUCUUACUUUGUCUCUUUAGUUCUUUGAACUUGGUGCAUGAGCUAUUUUUGGAUAAGGACUGUUUUAGCUUGACUCCACUCUAAUUUUUCCUACGCUUGAUACUUCCACUCGAUCUUUGAGAUAUUCAUUUCUAUAUCUAUAUAGUCUCUCGUUGUUAUUCAUGAUGCAUAGCAGAUAUGAGAUACCAUGUUUGUAUGUUUGAUUGUUGUUUACUUAUGUACCGUAUUGAGCAUGAUGGUUUCAUGUAACAUACCUAAUUUCUGCUUAUAUUUGUUUGAUGGCUAUUGCAUCUUGCGCAUCAUAUCAUUGCAUACAUGUUAACGACAAAUUCUCCCUUACAGUCGAGAGAGUCAUUAACCAGGGUCGCACGCUCGACCACUCGAGAGAGUGGUAGCUGGAGCAGAUGUCGCUUGUCUUGUCGUGCCGC
This is a long non-coding RNA of Zingiber officinale, 1141 nucleotides long. RefSeq lists it as uncharacterized. Lineage: Eukaryota; Viridiplantae; Streptophyta; Magnoliopsida; Zingiberales; Zingiberaceae. The record is from RefSeq and is a predicted model, not a curated record. The transcript is spliced from 3 exons.